AAAUUGAAGAGUUUGAUCAUGGCUCAGAUUGAACGCUGGCGGCAGGCCUAACACAUGCAAGUCGAACGGUAACAGGAAGCAGCUUGCUGCUUCGCUGACGAGUGGCGGACGGGUGAGUAAUGUCUGGGAAACUGCCUGAUGGAGGGGGAUAACUACUGGAAACGGUGGCUAAUACCGCAUAACGUCGCAAGACCAAAGAGGGGGACCUUCGGGCCUCU
RNAcentral lists this ribosomal RNA (218 nucleotides) under Salmonella enterica subsp. enterica serovar Infantis. RNAcentral describes it as "partial 16S ribosomal RNA". It matches the Rfam family "Bacterial small subunit ribosomal RNA", at positions 1 to 217 of the family's 1533-position model. RNAcentral also lists the same sequence under 7 other names. Lineage: Bacteria; Pseudomonadati; Pseudomonadota; Gammaproteobacteria; Enterobacterales; Enterobacteriaceae. The record is from RNAcentral.